GGGGAAUAUUGGGCAAUGGGGGCAACCCUGACCCAGCGACGCCGCGUGAAGGACGAAGGCAUUCGUGUUGUAAACUUCUUUGGAGAGGGACGAAAAUGACGGUACCUCUCGAACAAGCCACGGCUAACUACGUGCCAGCAGCCGCGGUAAUACGUAGGUGGCAAGCGUUAUCCGGAAUUACUGGGUGUAAAGGGCGCGCAGGCGGCCCUGCAAGUCGGAUGUGAAAGAUCAAGGCUCAACCUUGACAGGCCAUUCGAAACUGUGGGGCUUGAGUGUCAGAGGGGAAAGUGGAAUUCCUAGUGGAGCGGUAAAAUGCGCAGAUAUUAGGAGGAACACCGGUGGCGAAGGCGACUUUCUGGCUGACAACUGACGCUGAGGCGCGAAAGCGUGGGGAGCAAACA
RNAcentral lists this ribosomal RNA (401 nucleotides) under uncultured Oscillospiraceae bacterium. Its description in RNAcentral is "bacterial SSU rRNA". It matches the Rfam family "Bacterial small subunit ribosomal RNA", at positions 356 to 774 of the family's 1533-position model. Lineage: Bacteria; Bacillati; Bacillota; Clostridia; Eubacteriales; Oscillospiraceae. The record is from RNAcentral.